AGGGCUCAAAGCAAGAUUUCUGAACUCUAACGUUAGAGCUCUGGCCACCAAAGCAACAGGAUGUGGAGGAAAGAUGGGCACAGGGUCGGAGUGACUCUCCUGUCAGCACGAGCUCAGACAAGACUGCUUUCUGCGUGCCAGCUUCCUCAGCUGUGCUGGAGGAUCUGCGUGGUAGGUAACUGAAGGGACCCCUGUGAAAGGGUUAUUCGCCCUCUGGAAGGGUCGCAACCCACAGGUUGGGAACUACUGCUCUAAAACAUCUCUCAAGAGCUCUGGCCAGAGCCUGCCCUUCAAGGAAGUCUGGAGAGUUUUUCCAGUUGAAUGAGAAGAUUCACACCUAUGGGGUUGCUAUGAGAACUGAAUGGGUCAGUGCCACCAGGCAGUCGGAGCAGCAGUAAGCAAGCGGUCUUCAUGACUGUGUCCAAGGUGUCACUUCCGACCCAGCCUUGUGGACAAGAGACCUCUCUGGACGCCUCAUUUUGGGGUCAGUUGUAGAAGAAACACAGCAUUCUGAAGGCCUUAGAAUUGCUCCUGAAAUCUCAACCUCUCUAAUAAGGAAAAGAAAUAAGA
This 570-nucleotide long non-coding RNA is filed under the name Rattus norvegicus (Norway rat). Its description in RNAcentral is "long non-coding RNA NONRATT027656". Lineage: Eukaryota; Metazoa; Chordata; Mammalia; Rodentia; Muridae. The record is from RNAcentral.